CUACGGAGGGGGCGAGCGUUAUUCGGAAUCAUUGGGCGUAAAGGGCGCGUAGGCGGCCUGACAAGUCAGGGGUGAAAUCCCUCGGCUCAACCGAGGAACUGCCUCUGAAACUGUCAGGCUUGAGGCCGGGAGAGGGUAGUGGAAUUCCCAGUGUAGCGGUGAAAUGCGUAGAUAUUGGGAGGAACACCAGUGGCGAAGGCGGCUACCUGGACCGGUUCUGACGCUGAGGCGCGAAAGUGUGGGGAGCAAACAGGAUUAGAAACCCCAGUAGUCC
This 274-nucleotide ribosomal RNA is filed under the name uncultured bacterium. Its description in RNAcentral is "partial 16S ribosomal RNA". It matches the Rfam family "Bacterial small subunit ribosomal RNA", at positions 523 to 796 of the family's 1533-position model. The record is from RNAcentral.